GGUUACUGCUAUCGAGGUUCGACUAAGCCAUGCGAGUCGAAUGUAGCAAUACAUGGCGUACUGCUCAGUAACACGUGGACAACCUACCCAUAGGCCUGGGAUAACCCCGGGAAACUGGGAAUAAUACCGGAUAUCUCGCGAACGCUGGAAUGCGUCGCGAUAGAAAGCUCCGGCGCCUAAGGAUGGGUCUGCGGCCUAUCAGGUAGUAGUGGGUGUAACGUACCUACUAGCCUACGACGGGUACGGGUUGUGAGAGCAAGAGCCCGGAGAUGGAUUCUGAGACACGAAUCCAGGCCCUACGGGGUGCAGCAGGCGCGAAAACUUUACAAUGCUGGAAACAGCGAUAAGGGGACCUCGAGUGCCAGGAUACAAUCCUGGCUGUCGUAAUGCCUAAAAAGCAUUGCAUACAAGGGCCGGGCAAGACCGGUGCCAGCCGCCGCGGUAACACCGGCGGCUCGAGUGGUAACCGCUAUUAUUGGGUCUAAAGGGUCUGUAGCCGGCUGACUAAGUCUCUUGGGAAAUCUGACAGCUUAACUGUCAGGCUUUCAGGAGAUACUGAUCGGCUCGAGACCGGGAGAGGUGAGAGGUACCUCAGGGGUAGGGGUGAAAUCUUGUAAUCCUUGAGGGACCACCAGUGGCGAAGGCGUCUCACCAGAACGGAUCUGACGGCAAGGGACGAAAGCUAGGGGCACGAACCGGAUUAGAUACCCGGGUAGUCCUAGCCGUAAACGAUACUCGCUAGGUGUCGGCCACGGUGCGACCGUGGUCGGUGCCGUAGGGAAGCCGUGAAGCGAGCCACCUGGGAAGUACGGCCGCAAGGCUGAAACUUAA
This 831-nucleotide ribosomal RNA is filed under the name uncultured archaeon. RNAcentral describes it as "bacterial SSU rRNA". It matches the Rfam family "Archaeal small subunit ribosomal RNA", at positions 21 to 859 of the family's 1478-position model. The record is from RNAcentral.